CCGUGCUCUGAGACGAGCGCAGAUAUUUCUCCUUUGAAUCCAUACCAAAUUUCAAUUGUCAAAUGUAAGUUUCAGCGAAAUUCAUCAAUACGCUCCAAAUUCGGUUCCUCUCGCUUUAUCCCUUUCCUCCUGGAAUAAAACAAUAAAACAUCCCAAAAUCAUUUGAGGAACAGCUAAUCGAGACACGCCAAUCGAGACACGGAAAUGGUGGAGAGCCCGAGCUGAAGCCCCCCGCCGAGCGAGGAAUCCACUUCUAGAAGCUUCUGGAUCUCCCAGAAGGGGGAGGGGAGGGGAGGGGAGCAAGCCUAAGCCCUGGGACCCUGGGAGAAGGGUUUCUCUCGGCGGAUGGCGUCCGCCAAGUCGUCGAGGUCGCGUGUUCCCGGUGAACGCGGCGGCCGGCUCGGGAGGCGGCGAUGGCGGCGUGCAGCUGGCGGACAAGCUCAAGAUAUUCAAGACCGACAACUUCGACCCUGACGCCUACGUGCAGUCCAAGUGCCGCAGCAUGGACGAGAAGAGCAUCAAAGGAGAUAUCAGACCUUGAAGGGGAGCUGUUAUCUGUUAGAAAUUUGCAAAGUACACAGUCAGCUUUAAUUCAUGGUCUAUCCGAAGGAGUUCAGAUAGAUUCGUUGAGUACAGGGCAUGAAGGUUCUGCUGAGGAAGACAUAUCCACUGUUGAAGAUCAGGAGCCAUCAGAAAUAUGGAAAUGGUCUACAGAUUUCCCUGACAUGCUUGAUGUUUUGCUGGCCGAAAGAAGAGUGGAUGAAGCACUGGAUGCCCUGGAUGAAGCAGAACAAAUUGCUGCUGAUGCAAAACAGAAGGGGACUCUAACUACUGCUGAUAUUCUGGCUUUAAAGAGGGCUAUAUCUGAAAAUCGUCAGAAAUUGGCUGAUCAGCUAGCUGAAGCUGCUUGCCAGUCUUCUACUUGUGGCGUUGAGCUUCGCACUGCAGCUUCUGCUCUCAAGAGACUUGGUGAUGGACCUCGUGCUCAUAGUUUGUUACUCAGUGCACACAACCAAAGGCUUCAGUUAAACAUGCAAACAAUACAACCAUCUAGCACAUCAUAUGGUGGGGCAUACACUGCUUCUCUUGCACAGCUAGUUUUUCGUGUUAUAGCUCAGGCUCUUAGCGACUCUGCCGAGGUCUUUGGUGAUGAACCAGCAUACAUGUCUGAACUGGUUACUUGGGCUACUAAGCAGGCAAUGUCAUUUUCGCUGCUUGUAAAGAGGCAUGCUUUAGCCUCUUGUGCAGCUGGUGGGGGCUUAAGAGCUGCUGCGGAAUGUGUGAAGAUAGCACUCGGUUAUUCAGAGUUGCUGGAAGCUCGUGGUCUAUCACUUUCAGCAGUUCUGAUGAAGCAAUUCAGCCCCUCUGUUGAACAAGCAUAUGUAUCUUUAGGGGGUUUAUUUUCAUAAUAGCAUAGGUGGGGGAUUUAUAUAUAGAUUUAGAGGUUACUUUACGCUAUUUUUCAUAAUGGAAAAAUCAUUGCCGGUCAUCCAAGCAGCAUCAUAGUUGAACUUGGGAUCCUAGUCGAUCUCCACGUCAGUCUCCCGCCAUUCCAGUACACCAGCUUCACCCGAACUGCAUCAACCCAUAACCAGAGAAAAUACAAAAAAAUAAAUAUUCAACAUCAAAAACUAAUUUAGAUACAACAUUUUAUUUAUGAUAUAUACAAAGGAUAAGAGGACAUAACACCUAUAGCAGAUUACCACGAGACAUUUGAAAAUACUGACCAGCAUGCUGAAAAGGAGUCUGAAGACUUUCUUUUUUAAGGUAGAGACAUGAUUACCUGUGUGCAUGCGCUGGUGGUGUCCAAAUCAAAUUGUAUGCCUAUUUUGAUAAAAAAAGAAUUAGCACAUAGAUAAUAUCAUUAUCUAAAAUUUGUAUAUUCAAGUGAACUCCACUGAUAGUUCUGAAAAUGCUAAGAAAUAAACUAUCUCGGAAUUUUGUCAUCUUGACUUCCCAAUAAAUCAAUAAAAAAUAAAACAAACACAGACCCACGUAGAGGGGGAAGGAAAGAAACAACAGAUUCCAGACCAAGAUCCGAGAUGAAUCAAUGUAACCAUGGUAAAUUACGAACAAACUAAUCAGAUCAUGUAAGCCAAGGGGAUGGUACUGAAGGGGAGGGGCCGGGGGAGAUGGCUCACCAGCUUGUGCUGCACCACGCGCUAUGACUGCACAAUCACCGCUGCGCAUAUGCCGUAUGGUAGCCGACCGCAUAUCUGGGAGCCGCUGCGUCGUUGCUGGGCAUCUGGGAGCCGCCGCCGCGCUGCCACAGCACAUACGUAACCGCAAUUAGGUCGUGCGCCCGCCCACAAUCUUCGUCCCGGCAUGCCUCCGGGAUCACGUCGUGCGGCUGUUCGAGGUCUACCGCGCCAUAGCCCAGUCCGAGCUCAACUACAACCUGGUCCCCCUCGAGGUCGGGGAGGAGUACAAGCUCAGGACGGGCCUCAAGGUCAGGGCUUUCAGGACCUGCCACGUCAUACCCAGCCAGGGGUAUGUGAUAUACUCGGUGAAGAAGAAGCUGAAGCAGGAGUUCAUUGGCCUGCCGGGGAGCUGAGGUUAUCAGGUGUGGAGAUCACGAACAUGGUAUCCAUAUUGCUUUCACGGGAGAUACGACAUCGGAUUUCCUUGACCCGGAUAAUGCAGAUGUGUUGAGGGCAAAAAUUCUUGUUGUGGAGAGUACUUUUCUUGAUGAUGAAUCCCAUUCAGUUGAGCAUGCAAGAAAAUAUGGGCACACCCACUUAUCUGAGAUAGCAAGCCAGUCUGACAAGCUUGGAAACAAAGCUAUUCUACUGUUUCACUUUUCUGCUCGUUAUACUACAGAGGAAAUUGAUGCAGCAAUAAACAGGUUGCCACCAUCUUUCCGAAGCAGAGUUUGUGCAUUGAAGGAAGGGUUCGAAUGAAAAAACAUGAACCCAUACAUCAGCAAUGAAGUUUUGAAAAUGGGAUCAGCAAUGAAGUUUUCAAAUUGGAUUGUCUGGGUGUUUUCACUGGAAAUAUUUUUGCUAUUUGUGCACUAAUGAUAUUAUGGCAAUCAUUAGAAUAUUGAAGGUUCGUGAGGAAUGUUUUGUUGUGGGUACUCAAUGCUUGUUUCAUUCCCAUGACAUUGGAACAAUGGAAUAGUGCAAUGUGAAACAACCGUAUUAGCAACAGUUACUUGUGCUCGAAUUAUGAGCCUUAUAAGAAAUAGCAAUUGAAGUCUA
Setaria italica (foxtail millet) is the source of this 3200-nucleotide RNA transcript. It is a transcript of the gene named tRNase Z TRZ1-like, with no coding region annotated. The transcript is spliced from 7 exons. The record is from RefSeq and is a predicted model, not a curated record. Lineage: Eukaryota; Viridiplantae; Streptophyta; Magnoliopsida; Poales; Poaceae.